UCUGGCCUUAUUUCCUUCCUUCUUCAUACACACCGCAAAAAAAAAAAAAAAAAAAAAAGGAUGCGAAGGAAACGUCACGUGAUGUUUCUCAUUAUUCCGCCGUCUAAGCCUGGACAUCAUUUCGAACGCUUAGAUAAUUUGCCUUCUUUCUAGAAAUAAGCCAUAAUAUAAUAACAGGUGUUCGAGUAAGCUUAGAUCUGUCUAAGAGCGAGAGCAAUGUUAUAAUAUUAGAAGGUGUCUGAAUUCAUGAUGCUGAGACAGUUUACAGUAACAGAACGUGAAUAAUCCUGCACUAAUACCUGAAUGAAUACUUCCUUAAAUAUGAACUAAUGGUAAGCUAAGGCGUGUACUAAUCACGGACGGUUGAAGAGUUAACCUUAACCUUAUUAUGUUAUGAAUCCUUACGUGGAUAACAGACAUGUACAUGUUUCUCAGAUAGCGUCUUGAUCGACUAACGUGCCCUGUAAGAAAGAAUACGAAUUCAACGCGCAUCAUUCCAAACGGUUGAUAUCGUUUGCCGUCUGCAGCUGAAAGUUUACAGGAUGGCGCUGGAUUCCUCUCGUUACGCUUCAGGAACGGUUCGAAAUGAUGCACGUUCGACUCGUAUUCUUUCUUAGAGAGCACGUUUGAUUGAGUUUACCCUUACGAGUUAACGAAUACAUUAACCAACAGACAUGUAGUAAGUUGGUGGUUGUUAUUCACGCACGCAUGAAUUCAUAAGACUCACGUGGUUGAGGUUAAAGUCAACGUUAGCUCUUCGUUAGGUCGUGAUUAGUACGUGCCUUAACUCAGGGGUUCUCAAACUUUUCCAGGGCAAGGCAUCCCCAAACGGCAUUAACAUUUGACCGUGGCCCCCCAUUUUGAAAGAUGUCUUUAUAAUACAGACUUCUGAAUAUAUCCCACUUUUUAUUUAUUUAUUUAUUUUUAUUAAUAAUUACAUCUUACAUCUUUACAUUACAUUACAUUAGGAAUAUAUUGUGUGUGUGUGUGUGUGUGUGUGUGUGUGUGUGUGUGUGUGUGUGGUUGUCUGAGAGUGAGAAAGAGAAAACAUACUAGUGGGAGGGAUGGGCACACCAAAUUGUUGAGGCCCCCCGGGCGCCCCCUGGUGGCCACCACUUUGAAAACCACUGCCUUAACUCAUCAUCAGUUCAUAGUUGAAUAAGUAUUCAUUCAGUUAUUAGUGCAGUUAUUAGUGCACUUGGACGUUAUUCACGUCCAAGUGUUACCGGAUGUUUUUUUUGUUGUUGUUGUUGUUCCAAUGUUUAGAAUCCUUUCUAGAAAAUAUGUUAGUGCUGUUUUAUUAUCCGUUUAAAACAUCAUAAUCACCUUAAUCAGCAGGGGUUUUUUUUUUUUUAGGAGUCCAUAAUCAUCUCAUUCAUUCAUCUUGUCUUUCACCACAACAGUCUCUCAUCUAUCAUUGCGCACUUCCAUCCUCGCUGUCCUUGUCUCUACGUUUUAUCGCGAUCUCGCUCGUAGGUGCGAAGUUUCCUCAGGCUCGUCCAGUAAACCAACGAAGAGAAUGAGUACGAAGAAUGAGUACGAAGAACGAGUACGCGAACGUCUGGUGGAGCAAGGCGUGUUUUAAUACUGAAAGGAACCCGUCAUCCUUAGUGUCCACGCCAUCUUUAGUGUACACCUGUCAUUACCAUGGCGAUGAACUGAAACUAGAACUUUUCUCUGCGCCGUGAGCAGAAACGGAGGGAACACGUCUGUAGGUCACUCGGGAUAAGGGCGUCUGUGAACUGCCGCGAACGUCAACGUAAACGUCAUAGAACGGAAUGGAACGAGUGUCGUGGAAAGAACGAGGAACGAGGGGAACGGAACAGAACAAAGAGAACACAAGGGGGGCGGGUGGGGUGGUGGGGGGGUCCAGAACAAUAAGAACAGGAUUUAAAUAAAAAAAAGAGAAGGAAAAAAAAACAAAAAAACAGAACAGAACAUGAAGAAGAAAGAAUGAGACAAGGAGAAUGGAGAGCAACAGAGAGAACAGAAUUAAAAAGAAGAGUACGAUGUGAAAGGAAUGAGGGGGGAAACGAAAAAGAACGGAACGGAACAAAAGGGGCAGGAUCAAAGAGAGAGGGGGGAAAAAAAGAGGAGAAAAAAAAAAAAACAGAACAGAACAUGAACAAGAAAAGUCUUUCUUACCAAGAAUGGAAAGGAACUGAAAGAGCAGAAUGAAAAGAACAAAGAGGAAAGAUGGAAAUCGAAUGAAGGGAACAGAACAGAAAGAAUGGAGCAAAAAGAACAUAAUGAGAAAAAGAGGAAUGGAACAGAACGGAAAGAGUGGAAGAGGUAAUUCACUUUCCUCUGUGAGAGAGGGUUUCUGUUCUUUCCUCACUACAUGGAAAUGUGCGGCAAUAUUUGUUUGUGGUACAUUUACAUUGACAUUUAGGGCACAUGGCAGACGCCCUUAUCCAGAGAGACGUACAUUUAUCUCAUUUACUCUAUACAACUGCGCAACUGAGGGUUAAGGGCCUUGCCCAAGGGCCCAGCAGUGGCAGCUUGGCAGUAGUAACCCCUGACCUUCUGAUCAGUAACCCAGAGCCUUUAACCACUGAGCCACCUAGAGACUCCUAGAGAUCCCGAGCACCGAAUUCAUUCGAAUCUCGCGGAUUACAUCAGACGCGUUCUGUAAACCUCGACGACCGUGAAGUUAAGCGUGCCGAACGUGUGAUGUACGAUAACGUGGAUUAGCGAGACCGGCGUGCACCGCAAGAAGGUCAGAAAGGGUGGGAGACUAGGUUAGGUGGAGAUUGAGGUCGCCUGUGAGAGGAUAAGAGCUACCCGAGAGCCUACGACACGUCCGUAAACACGCACGGAAAGCUGCUCAGUCGCUCGUGACGUGCGGAGAGUAACAUCGGCGUCCGAGUUUAGAAGAAGAAGACAGAGAUGCAUCCUCUCAUGGUCGCCAUCAUAACAACCAACACGUCGCUGUCGGUGAUUCUGUGGAACUUCCUGCUGUCCCAGGUGUUCUGCAAGAAGAUUAAAGACGCACCCAGAUCUGAGGAGGUCGUGCCUGUCUGAACUGGCUACUCGGCCCUGACCCCGAGGAGAAUGAGGAGGAAGAGGACGUGGUGGAGUCGUCUGGACAGGAAGACCGGACUGGAGCAGCAGAGCGGAAAGGCAAACAGGAAGAGAACCACAAAGCCACCGGCGUAGACGAGAACAGUCCGGGACUUAGACUUUCAUUAAUAACCUAAAAACACCGAAAACACCACGAGAACCGACCGCUUUCAGAUCUCUCUCGUUCCCAAACUCGUUCAUUUUCGUCCAUGUGCGUUUAAUCAUUCGACCGUCAGUGUAAAAUGUCGUCUGUCCUAUAAACCGUACUUUUGAAGUAGUUCGCGUGAAACUAGAUCCGUCUAGAACUUUUAAGACGUUUAAGAAAGCGAUCGCAUUCGAAACCAAGUAAUACUUUCCUAUAACAUCCACAACUCCACAAAUAAGCAUUACCCUAUACUAUACUAACUUAAUUAACGACAAAUUAAUAAUCUACUAAUCCUCAGUACAUGAGGAACUAAAGAUGUGUAUAGAUUACCAACCCACUGUAGCCAUUAAUACAGUCGUGAAGCGUUAACAUCUUGUUAACGUAUUCUGUUAAUCCAGCGGUUUUCAAAGUGGGGGCCGCGGUCCCCUUGGUGGCCGCCAGGGGGCGCCCGGGGGGCCUCAACAAUUUGGUGUGAAAAAUAAAUAAAUGUAUGUUUUCUCUUUCUCACGCUCAGACACACACACACACACACACACACACACACACACACACACACACACACACAGACACACAAUCAAUUCCUAAUGUAAUGUAAAGUUGUAAGAUGUAAUUAUUAAUUUAAAAAAAAAAGGGGGGAUAUAUGCAGAAGUCUGUAUUUUUAAUGUGUUUUAAAGACAUCUUGCAAAACGGCGGCCUCGGUCAAAUUUGAAUGCAUUUUGGGGGGCCUUGCCCUGGAAAAGUUUGGGAACCCCUGUGUUAAUCAAUAUCACAGCUUACGCGUGGCUUUGUGGAAUUUAUAUGACCAAAUAUAAAAUAUUACCAAAAACACUGUGGCGUAGUGUAGUGAUUAAGAACGCCUCUUUAUCAGUUCUACAUGACGUUUACGUUAAAUACAGUGAAUUAGCUACGGUUUGAACAAACGGAUUGUGCGUUACGGCUAAGCCGUGUACGUAAAGCUUAAAAAGCUUAAUAGUAAUGUUUUGUGAAUAAUUUGCAUACUAACUAUAGCCAAUCAUCUCGAUUUGAUCCACGAGUGACGUUUUGUGGACGAUAAACUACGUAUAAGUAGAAAAUGUAACGGAUUAAAUAGCUAACUUGUGCGCUAGGUUAUAUGUGGUACCGUUUCCCAUUGCUCGAACUGAAUUAACAGUCAUGCUAACUAUUUUAUUUCUCAAUUUAUGUUCGAACAAGGUUACAAGCUAGAACCAUGCUAGUCGUCAGUUUCGUACCUUGUUGUUGUUGUUGUUGUUGUUGUUUUCCUUUGAUUUAUUCUCUCAAGAACGUAAAGGCAUGAUCAAUCGACGCCGCUGUUCGAUAUUUCCGCUCUAGCGCAUGCAAUAAAUACAUAACUUUU
Molecule: long non-coding RNA, 4562 nt
Organism: Ictalurus punctatus (channel catfish)
Lineage: Eukaryota; Metazoa; Chordata; Actinopteri; Siluriformes; Ictaluridae
Exons: 2
Source: RefSeq, a predicted model, not a curated record